This 798-nucleotide long non-coding RNA is filed under the name Homo sapiens (human). RNAcentral's name for it is "non-protein coding lnc-ZNF727-6:8". Lineage: Eukaryota; Metazoa; Chordata; Mammalia; Primates; Hominidae. The record is from RNAcentral.
GAGAGCCUGGCUAGGCAGGCUGGAAACAGUAGCUCUUAACGGUCCCCCGCCCGUUGGUGGCAAGGCGGCUGGACUGGAAUCCCAGCAGGCGACAUGCGAGGAGGCGGGCAGCCCAGGAGGGUUGGACACGGCAAUGUGGACCUCGCCGCUUCCACAACGAUGCUGGCUACUGAUCGCGUGCACUUCCUUGCCAAAGAAAAUUUGUGCUGUGCACUAACAUGCAAUACAAAUACUGAUGAAAAUAAAACUAUUGCCCUCCUACCAAAUGAGAAAUUAAUGUUAUGACUGGAUGAAGACAAUUGUGAAGAAACUGCACUUUGAGGUUGUCUAUCUCUGUAUUCUGAUGGAAAAGCGUGGAGUUUAGAAGCACUGCUCACUCCUUCAGUUUCUAACAACUGUUUGGGGUGACAUAAACUACUGAAAGAGUGACUCCAGAAAGUGCUGCCAUCAAUAUCUGCAACUUGUAGGGUGUUUGGAUCAAUGAGGUGAAUGGCACUGGUUAUUCGAAUACACACACAAAUCUGGUUCAUAUUUCCCAGGCUUUGUGUCAGUUUUGGAGACAGACAGACAACAUAAUCCUGGCAUAUUGGAACAAUUUCCACAGAAAAAGUGCUUUUGUAAUUGUAUGUAUUACUAUGGACAUCCUGAGAGAUCAGUCUUUGGGAUGCGUUGUAUCUACAGGGAACUGUAUACUGAAUAAAUUCGACCAUCUUCUGAGCAUGUGGUUUUGAGGAAUAAUAAAAAUCCAGACCAUCAUGAAUCUCUUUGAUACGAAGUGUAUUCUGAUGCCUUCCAUAU